CCUCAAAACUCGAACACAGAAUACAGAACACAGGCGUAACACAGAACACAGACUUCAUGUGUUCUGUGUUACGUCUGUGUUCUGUAUUCUGUGUUCGGGUGUUGCGUAUACAAAAUGUUAGUACUCUGUACAAUUUCCCAGACCCUAUGUCAAUUACAAAGCAUAACUUUCAAGACUGGUGUAAACUGUAGUUUCAGUUUCUUUUGAUUGAAAGCUUUUGUUACAAGCUGAGUGUAAAUUAUACUCUCAUGCCAUGUCUCUUUUCCAAAUGUAUGUGUCUUUGUCCUGUCUCAGUAACAGACCAGCCAGAUCGGAUUCAGCCAGAAACAGAAGUCUACUGUCGAACUGACCCACCUGUGACCUGAAGAAUGGAACCUGACUGAAAGUGCUGACCUGGUAUACAGCUGUCUAUGAGCCCUCCAUUUCAAUGAGAAUGCUGCACGAGACCAGGCUACCACGUCCACAGAUCCCCUCUACAGGAUCCAUUACUCCAAUGCCAUGAAGAGGGAGGCAAGAGUGAAGCCCGUAUAAAAUGAGGCAACAUCUGGAUGCGUUGAAGACGUGGGCCUGAGAAGGAGGGGGUGAUCACCAGCUGCAUCUUCCGCUUCAACGCAGGGGAGGCAGUCUGAAGCCCAUGUAU
Long non-coding RNA from Engraulis encrasicolus (European anchovy), 640 nucleotides. RefSeq lists it as uncharacterized. The record is from RefSeq and is a predicted model, not a curated record. Lineage: Eukaryota; Metazoa; Chordata; Actinopteri; Clupeiformes; Engraulidae. The transcript is spliced from 3 exons.